This 1451-nucleotide long non-coding RNA is filed under the name Phascolarctos cinereus (koala). RNAcentral's name for it is "lncRNA (ENSPCIG00000033492.1)". The record is from RNAcentral. Lineage: Eukaryota; Metazoa; Chordata; Mammalia; Diprotodontia; Phascolarctidae.
CUCCCUCACCUGUUUCCAAGGAACCCUCCAUGAUUCCAGAUGAUAUCCUCCCAUACCAUGGCCAUUACUGACAAAGACCACACACCUCAUGACCCAAUGUUUUUGUUUUAACUCCAUCUGUUGUUCAAGCAGGGGUCUCCAGGUUCUGUCUUGGCAGCCCCCCAAUCUGUGCCAGUCUAGAAACACCAGCAUCCCCAGCGUGAGGAGCACCAGGCCAACCAGACCCAUAUGAAUGAAGUAGUACUAGGAGGAUGAGUUAAAAGGGGAAGAGAAAGAGGAAUUGAUGCAAGAGGAGGUGGAGAAAGAAGAGAAAAGAGAAGACUUUCUGGCUAUCAGCUUGAGCUGGCUUCAUCAUUAAACACCCUGAGACUGAGAGAUAGAGAAGGGAACUUACUCCUUAAAAGAAAAAAAAAACUUUAUUUUCCUCAAUAGAACUUGGGGCUGGAGGCCAGAGUCAACCAGCUGGGAUUCUGGUGCGUCAUGCUUUCAGAAUGUUUUUGACUGCCGGUUGUACACUAGACAUAGAGAGACGGGAAAGAAAACAACCCAAAGAUAAACUCACCGCUGGGAGGAGGGGGGGAGGAGAUGAGAAGAGGGGCGGGGCGACAUUUUAUCCUGAGUACGCUAGGACAGGUCGGGCUUUGGUCAAUGCUGGGGCUGGCUAACUAGCCUUGGGGUACCAAGCUGCUGAGACACUGAAGAGCGGCUUAGCUUUUCCCAGUGUUAGAAUAUUUCAGCUGCCAACCACAAACUCCAUCCUGCAAACCCAGGAGGCUGCAGAAGUUUACUCUACCAAAUUUGACAACUUCCAGGCAGACGAGAUCCCCAGGUCCCCGGGGCCCAGAGACAAAAAGACAACCUCCAGAGCCAGAGAGCCUCAUUCUAUACAACGUUUUACACCCAAAGUCGCCCGGCUCGCUGAAAUCAUGGGAUAUCCGGCUUAAAAUGGUCCCCAGAAAUCACCAAGUUCAGUCUCUUUACUUUUGGGAUGAAAAAACAUAAACGUGGUGUGGUCAGCUGGUUUCUGAACACUCCGCAGCUUGUCCUUACCAGGAGGGAUUCGUCAGUUCGUUCUUUCGCUCGCUGGUUCAGUCCGUCAGUCGGGCAAGCAGGCACCAAGAGCAGCGGUAACAGAGGCGCCCACAGUUCCUCAGAACUGACUCAGCGAGGGCAGAGAAAUUCAAGAAGUUUAGGAGCCAUAACCACAGCAGGAUACCCACAUUUGCCUGCCACAUGUUGACUUCUGAAGAUGGUAUGCCUUAGAGCCAUAACGACGGCACAAAGUGUGCAUCUUAUUCCAGUGCUUACUAAAUGAAGACAUCUGCUUCGUCGUCUUCCUCUUGCUGCUGGGAGCAAAAAGAAGGCUAUUGUGGUUUCUGAAAAUUUGAUAGUCAAAGGAAUGAUUGCCUUUCAAUUAGAAGCUAGUCAAAAUAAAGAUGUAUUUUUUCCCA